GGAGUAGUAGGACCUGUGUAAAUCCUGUCAGUAACCAAAUGACUAAAGAGAUCCGCGAUGUGUAAGAGAAACAUGUAAUAGCCUGUAAAUUCAGGCGGUGCAGCCAAACGCUUGAGAUUGAACGACAGAAAAAUAAAAAGAACCAUCUAUAGUGAAAGGAAUCAAAAAAGACAAUGGAAGGACGAAAGAAAGAAAAAUUGGAAACGAAGGAAAGUAGUAAUAUUAUCUGCUUAAGCCAGCGGUUCUCAACCUGUGGGGCGCGCUCCCCUGCGGGGGAGGGGGGGCGACGUGGUUACAAAGGGGGGGGAGGCGCGAAGGUGGUCAUUUUUUUAAAGUUUCUUAUACCAGUUUUAGUGAAAUUAGCUUACAUUGCCGGCUAAGGGGGCGCGUGGAUGUACCUUUGUUCGUCAGGGGGGCGUCACAAGUAAAAGGUUGAGAACCGCUGGCUUAAGCAAUCAACGCAUUUUGUUAGAGAGGAAUCAAUGUUUUACAUGUCUGAUAACAUACACGAAUCUGUUUUUAUCUCGGAAAAUAAACAUUGUUUUUGAUGCUUUAACCUGCUAAAUUUUCUCCCUGGAUAUCUUGGGAAGUUUUGGGAAGUAUAAGCACAUAAUUUUCUUCCAUAAAGCAAUGCUUUAUUUCUUACAUGAAUAUUUAGCAUUAUAUAAUUUCGUGUUUGCGUUUCUCAAAAUUGUACUCGCCUAACAUCCUCCCGUUCGUGUAUGUGUACAUGUGUACGGGGUGUGUGUGCGUUUGUGUGUGUGAGAGAGAGAGAGAGCCAUUACUUUUGAUAUGAAGAUAAAUAAGUAGAUAUAUGUUUAUAAUCUAUAUAUAAUCAGAUUUAUUGUCCAGUCUGCAUCGUGGCAGAUGCUGUGUUUGAUACAUUUGAAAACUGAAAGGAAGAAGUUCCGUGUCUAUAAGCUCAUUUUUAUCUUACACUUCCGUGUUAUUUCUACCCCAAAGCUUGUGUCGAUAGCAGAUAGUCAGUAGUAGAAAUCUAGAAGUAACUUGCAACUCCCGAGUUAACAGGAGAAAUGCACAAAAUGUUUUCAGCUUCAACUGCUGCAUAUGUUGCUUAUGUCUUGCUCGUACACCAAACACUUUCACAGGAAGCCUGUACUGAACUAACAUUUCAUGACUUUAAGGAAGAGGACCUAUCAGUUGUUGAAAAUCAAUUCGUUAAUGUGACUUUCUGGGUGAACGUGUCGACAUGUAACGAGAAGAAUACAUCCCACAAAAUAAUUGUUCGCACCAGGACAAAAACCGGAAGUCUAGAGUAUGACGGGACGAUUACCUACUGGAAAGACACGUGUACUGAGAGACAAGGGAAGUCAGUUCAGUGCAUCAGCCCAACAGGUCCAGCAGAGCUGAACAGAACAGUGAACCGCUCUCACGUGCAGAUUGAGUGGGAGUUGACUUUUGCACAGUCUGGUCACUCUUCGUUUGUACUAAUGAACCUUACUGUGUUGUAUCCACCAAAGGUUACAAGUCUGACUGUGAAUAGAAGAGAGGUCCAUCAUACUCAUGUCAUUAAUGAAGGUGAAGAGGUCGACAUCUCCUGCUUAUUCGAUGAAGGAAACCCUCCCACCAAAUUCAUCCUUGUAGAUAAAGCUGGAAAAGAAAUAAACGCCUCAAGAGGAGAACAACAUCUUAACCAUUCACUUAAUGCUCAGUGUCAAGACGACUGGCCCAUCAUCCAGUGUGAAGGAUUGGGCUCGACAAUGAACAAAUCUGUCACCUUUCUUGUCAGAUGUAAGCCUCAGUUUAUCAAAAAGUCUCCCAAUCUCCACCCUGGAAUAUACCAACGAUGGGAGUUUAACAUAAAAGCCUACACCACUGUUGUAGAUAAAUGUAUACUAGUGUCUUUGUCAUCUGGAGAAAACUGGAGAAAAGAAGUGAACUGUACCCUGACUGGAGAUCCACCUAACCUGAAUUUGACGGUUGUAAUUUUAAACGACAGCAUCACAGGUGGAAAUUGGUCGUUAAAUAUCAGUAUUGAAGGAGGACUUUCAGAAACAUUAUUUUCUCGUUACCCUCAGUUACAGUUACAGAAAAUUCGUUGUCCAGUUCAGAAGAAACCCUUGGUCCUGAAUUUGUGGUUAUUAUUUUGUUGGGUGUCAUUGUCUUCACUGCAACAAUUGUUGUUGUUCUUGUUGCCAUAAAGAGGAUGAGGAAACAGGCUGACAGUAAGUUAUUUAAAUAAAUAGUUAAAUUUCUUAGUAAUUAUAUUUUGCCGUGGUUAUUUCAACAAAAUUAUUGACAUUAAAUUGCAAAGCUCCAUUAUUUGUUCUUUAUUUGUUGCAGGAAAAAUCAAAUCGUUUUGUCCACAGUACUUGUGAACUUGUGAAAAUAUGAAAGGAACUUUGUAUAAUGUCUUUUUAAAUAAAAUCUUUGUCGUUUAUUUUUACAUAAAGUUCUCUGUUUCUUUUGUACUAGGCAGAGGGAUCAGGUGAGUAUCCUUUUAUAGGCUUUUUACAGUAUUUCUUUUAAAUUAUUUUUAUAUGUUGUUAUAUUAACGUAUUAAAAGACACGUAGUCCCUGAUGAUAGCUAUCUCAUGUAUGCAUCGACAAAAGUUUUGAUGUAGAAUUGCAUUUUAUCAGUAUUAAUCAGUAAAUAUAAUCAAUUUAUAGAGACUGCAAUUGCAUUUGUACUAAAACGUGCAUCUAUACAAGUUGCCAUUAUACCAACACAGACCUUGUUCAGCAAAAGAAACCCUAAGCAAAAAAGAGGGUACACAAUACUGUCACUUAAAGAUAAAAAAGACAACAAUAGACCGUAAAUACGCUCGAAUCAAGCUUUACAUUAGUGUUGUUUGCUAUCUACUCUAAUGUGAUAAGUGUUAAAAGGGUAAUAGAUAAAAGUGUCAUUUCUUAUGAAAAAGAAAAGGAUUUCUAGGUUUCUUCAGUCAAAAUAAGAAUCUAUUUUAUGGUUUGAAGAUCAUGAACACAGAAACUUCCUCAUUGUAAACAAAUCACGUCUUUACAGGGAUAGAGAUGAGAGCAGAGUUUCAACAGAAAAUGUGCGGGAAAUUUUUACACGUAAGUGGCUCCCAUACUUCUUAAACUGUAAUAGCAUAGGUAUUUAUUGAUGUGGUUGUUCCUUCCUGUAAUUCUUUCACAUACUUCUUCCGUCUUUCUUUUAUAUUAUGACCUUUUCUUCCCCCCCCCUUUUUUUUUAUCGUUGUCGAGUACAGGGUGUCGCGUGUGGGAAGAGUGUAGUAAGGUUUCUGGUUCUUCUAAAAAGAAACUUUUACAGGCCUUGCGUGCAAAGUUGGGGAAUCUGUCAUUCGCGGUAGACUAAUUGUCUUCUCCGGAAACGCAGAGAUGUCCAGCGGACAAUCCCGGCGGCACGAAAAAGUUGAUGGCUAGUUGCCAAUCACCCUGUCUGUCACAUCAGGUGGAAAUAAUAUGGUUCCCCAAUAACAUCUUUUUUUAACUGACCAAAUUGACGUAUACUUAUUUUUCUGCCUGCUGGGACCUAGAGGGGUUUGUACAUCGUUGCAGAAUUGUCGUGAAUCAGGGUUGGGCGACCACCUCUGUAUUUAGUUCGGGUGCGAAAAUUUUGCGGUAGGAGCAGGUAUGUUUCGGAAAGAUUUAUGCCGGUUUGGUGGUGACUGUUGCCCUGACAGUUAUGGUACGUAGUAUUCAAGUGUUGACAUGUGCAGCUAAUUUUUCCUUCCAAAAUCAGAGAAAAAAAUGAAACUUCGUUUUGAGCAUUGAACUCCAAGUGUGCAUGGUCUUUUGUAACAACUAACCCGUAGUGUAUUGCACGUGUGUUAUUACUGUUUUUUUUUACAAUAAAUUGCACCUUUGGAUAAUUGGAAGUAAAAGAACUCAAAUAAGUGAAUAGUACAUAAAACGUAUUUUAAAGAAAGGCACUUUAGUAAAAAGUGAAUACCCUUAGCUAAUAUAAUACAAUGUUUAACUGAAUUGCGUUAAUAAAUAAAUGGAGAACAAAAUGUCUACAAAAAAAAGAGCAUAGUAUUUUUGUCAUAAUAUUUUUAAAACAAAUGUGCUAGCGUUUGAAGAUCAUAAAGAGGUUUUAAAGACAAAUUAGUGCACACAUCUUGAAGAACCUUUAACAUUCAUACAUUAGUACUUAAUUUCUCAGGAAACUCUUCAACAGAAGCAACCGAAAAUGAUUAUACCUCCAUGGUUGUCCAAGAAAAAAUGCGCCAACAACAAGGUCUGAAGACUGAUGUUGCUGAAGUCGCAAAUGUUGGUGCAUCAGCAGAGAUAAUGGUAAACCUUAAGCUUGUUUCAGAAGGUGUUACACAGUCACUAAUAGCGUUUUGCUUAAUAUUUAAUCCAGUCUACUGUGCAUCGGAUAGGUCACCCUGAAAUUGUAGUACAAGGAUAUUUUGACAUCACCCUGUCUGAAAAUAAAACCGAAACGUAGAUAUGACUACUUAAGUAACUCUGUCAACCAUUAAAAUAUCGUUAACUUAUUUAUGGUUGCAAUAUUUAACUAAAAGUGAAACAAAGAAAGACAAUAUUUUACGAGUGGUUGAAACUAGCAGUUUGUUUCCUUGGCAGCACAUUAACUCUUUGACAAUUUAUAUUCUUGUUUAUUAUUUUUAUGCAUAGUACACGUUUGAGGCUAGAACAGACUCACAUUAAUCGUAUGAUCUGUAUUUUCUUUGUUCUGCGUGCUUUUCUUGAUAAGACUGACUUCAUUUCCGUUCGCAUUUAACAAGUAAUAUUUUAAUGGUUCGCUCUACACUAAUGACCAGCACAUUGUGUGGUGACUAAAUUGAACAGACGUGUUUAA
Molecule: RNA transcript, 4771 nt
Organism: Pomacea canaliculata
Lineage: Eukaryota; Metazoa; Mollusca; Gastropoda; Architaenioglossa; Ampullariidae
Exons: 7
Source: RefSeq, a predicted model, not a curated record